Molecule: long non-coding RNA, 650 nt
Filed under: Setaria viridis
Lineage: Eukaryota; Viridiplantae; Streptophyta; Magnoliopsida; Poales; Poaceae
Description: long non-coding RNA (SVIR_LNC006603)
Source: RNAcentral
UGCCAAGUCAUCCACAGGACACCUCUCCUGAUCAAACUCCCUGGCAAAGCCUGACCAACAACACUCCCUAUCCCUGAUCAACCGCAGCUUGCAGGGCGAGCAGAGAUCCCCGACGAGCGAUGAAAAAAGCCUCUGGAGGAGCAUCUUUGCUCCACCACAGGCUCGGGGGCUACUGUUGGGGGGAAAUAUUAACGACCUCCUAAUGCCGCUUAAAGCAACAGUCAUGAAGGCCCAGGCCCACCUGCGGUAAUUACGAUUACCGCCGACCCAGUAGUGGCAGAGAACAUCCCACUCCGUCUCGCCCGACCCAGGGCCCCGGGGUCGGACAAUCCCGACCCCUCGAUGGCGGGACUCCGCCUCGCCCGACCGUGGUCCCAGGGUUGGGAGCGCCCGACCCCUCAAAGACUAAAUUCCGCCUCGCCCGACCUAGGGGACCGGGGUCAGGAGCGCCCGACCCCCACCACAGAAACUCCGCCUCGCCCGACCCUGGGCGCGGGGGUCGGACUCGCUCGGGUCCACAAGACAAAUAUUCACCUCGGGCGCGGACUGGAGGAUCAGGAUGACGAUCUCGUGGGUCCCCCUAUCGACCUCGCCAUAAAUGCACCGCGGCCCUGUCAAGCCAAAAGGGAGCAGCGUCCCCAACGUAACCG